ACAGCCAUAUCACAUUGAAACACCAGUCCUUGUAUGAUUCCUGAAGUUAAGCAAUAUCGAACCUGAUUAGUACCUAGAUAGGUGAUCUCUUGAGAAUACCAGGUGUUGUAU
Non-coding RNA from Acanthosepion pharaonis, 111 nucleotides. NCBI's taxonomy places the organism in Eukaryota, Metazoa, Mollusca, Cephalopoda, Sepiida, Sepiidae. The record is from the annotation of a GenBank genome assembly.